GGGGAAUUUUGGACAAUGGGGGCAACCCUGAUCCAGCAAUGCCGCGUGAGUGAAGAAGGCCUUCGGGUUGUAAAGCUCUUUUGUCAGGGAAGCAACGGCGGGAGCUAAUACCUUCUGCUAAUGACGGUACCCUGAGAAUAAGCCCCGGCUAACUACGUGCCAGCAGCCGCGGUAAUACGUAGGGGGCAAGCGUUGUCCGGAUUUAUUGGGCGUAAAGCGCGCGUAGGCGGCGCGGUAUGUCGUGCGUGAAAUCCCCCGGCUUAACUGGGAGGGGCCGUGCGAAACUGCCGGGCUUGAGGUCGGAAGGGGAAAGUGGAAUUCCGGGUGUAGUGGUGGAAUACGUAGAUAUCCGGAGGAACACCAGCGGCGAAGGCGGCUUUCUGGUCCGAUACUGACGCUGAGGUGCGAAAGCGUGGGGAGCGAU
Molecule: ribosomal RNA, 424 nt
Filed under: uncultured bacterium
Lineage: Bacteria
Description: bacterial SSU rRNA
Rfam family: Bacterial small subunit ribosomal RNA
Source: RNAcentral